UAAACUAGGAUUAGAUACCCUAUUAUUUUAAAUGUAAUAGAAAAACUAAAUUAGUAUUAGUUAUGUUCUUGAAAAUUAAAAAAUUUGGCGGUAUUUUAGUCUUUUCAGAGGAACCUGUCCUAUAAUUGAUAGUCCACGAUAUAGGGUACUUUAUUUAUUAGUUUACAUAUCGUCGUAGUUUGAAUAUUUUAUUAGAAAUUUGAAUAUUCUUGAUUUUUAAUUAAAAAGUAAAUCAGAUCAAGGUGUAGUUUAUAAUAAAGGAGAGAUGGGUUACAUUAAAUUUAUUUAAGGAUUAUUUUUAGGAUAAAAAUUUAAAUGUGGAUUUGAAAGUAAUUUUUUUUAAUUUAUAAAGAUGAUUAUAGCUCUAAAAUAUGCACACAUCGCCCGUCGCUCUUAA
RNAcentral lists this ribosomal RNA (397 nucleotides) under Spermophagus mannarensis. RNAcentral describes it as "partial 12S ribosomal RNA". The record is from RNAcentral. Lineage: Eukaryota; Metazoa; Arthropoda; Insecta; Coleoptera; Chrysomelidae.